AUCGAACGCUGGCGGCAUGCCUAACACAUGCAAGUCGAACGAGUGGCGGACGGGUGAGUAAGUUCUGGGCAACUGGCUGAUGGAGGCGGCUAACUACUGGAACCGGUAGCUACUAUCGCUUACGGUCAGUUGUGCCCAGGUUGGAUUAUCUAGUGGGGGGGGUAACGGCUCACCAAGGCGACGAUCCCUAGCUGGUCUGAGAGGAUGACCAGCCACACUGGAACUGAGACACGGUCCAGACUCCUACGGGAGGCAGCAGUGGGGAAUAUUGCACAAUGGGCGCAAGCCUGAUGGAGCCAUGCCGCGUGUAUGAAGAAGGCUUUCGGGUUGUAAAGUACUUUCAGCGGGGAGGCGGUACCCAAAGAAGAAGCACCGGCUAACUCCGUGCCAGCAGCCGCGGUAAUAC
This 406-nucleotide ribosomal RNA is filed under the name uncultured bacterium. RNAcentral describes it as "partial 16S ribosomal RNA". It matches the Rfam family "Bacterial small subunit ribosomal RNA", at positions 30 to 526 of the family's 1533-position model. The record is from RNAcentral.